Molecule: transfer-messenger RNA, 346 nt
Filed under: Escherichia coli
Lineage: Bacteria; Pseudomonadati; Pseudomonadota; Gammaproteobacteria; Enterobacterales; Enterobacteriaceae
Description: partial transfer-messenger RNA
Rfam family: transfer-messenger RNA
About the family: Bacterial tmRNA, also known as 10Sa RNA or SsrA, is named for its dual tRNA and mRNA-like properties.
Source: RNAcentral
GGGGCUGAUUCUGGAUUCGACGGGAUUUGCGAAACCCAAGGUGCAUGCCGAGGGGCGGUUGGCCUCGUAAAAAGCCGCAAAAAAUAGUCGCAAACGACGAAAACUACGCUUUAGCAGCUUAAUAACCUGCUUAGAGCCCUCUCUCCCUAGCCUCCGCUCUUAGGACGGGGAUCAAGAGAGGUCAAACCCAAAAGAGAUCGCGUGGAAGCCCUGCCUGGGGUUGAAGCGUUAAAACUUAAUCAGGCUAGUUUGUUAGUGGCGUGUCCGUCCGCAGCUGGCAAGCGAAUGUAAAGACUGACUAAGCAUGUAGUACCGAGGACGUAGGAAUUUCGGACGCGGGUUCAAC